RNAcentral lists this ribosomal RNA (468 nucleotides) under uncultured bacterium. RNAcentral describes it as "partial 16S ribosomal RNA". It matches the Rfam family "Bacterial small subunit ribosomal RNA", at positions 28 to 507 of the family's 1533-position model. The record is from RNAcentral.
GACGAACGCUGGCGGCGUGCUUAACACAUGCCAGUCGAACGGAAAGGCCCUGCUUUUGUGGGGUGCUCGAGUGGCGAACGGGUGAGUAACACGUGAGUAACCUGCCCUUGACUUUGGGACAACUUCAGGAAACUGGGGCUAAUACCGGAUAGGAGCUCCUGCUGCAUGGUGGGGGUUGGAAAGUUUCGGCGGUUGGGGAUGGACUCGCGGCUUAUCAGCUUGUUGGUGGGGUAGUGGCUUACCAAGGCUUUGACGGGUAGCCGGCCUGAGAGGGUGACCGGCCACAUUGGGACUGAGAUACGGCCCAGACUCCUACGGGAGGCAGCAGUGGGGAAUAUUGCACAAUGGGCGGAAGCCUGAUGCAGCAACGCCGCGUGCGGGAUGACGGCCUUCGGGUUGUAAACCGCUUUCGCCUGUGACGAAGCGUGAGUGACGGUAAUGGGUAAAGAAGCACCGGCUAACUACGUG